RNAcentral lists this ribosomal RNA (560 nucleotides) under Barbitistes yersini. RNAcentral describes it as "SSU rRNA". It matches the Rfam family "Eukaryotic small subunit ribosomal RNA", at positions 720 to 1163 of the family's 1831-position model. The record is from RNAcentral. Lineage: Eukaryota; Metazoa; Arthropoda; Insecta; Orthoptera; Tettigoniidae.
AUGAUUCGUGGGACGUCCUGCCGGUGGUGGCGAGUCGAAGGCGUGCACCCGUUGUGGUUUAUCCACUUCGGUUCUUGCGCGCCGGAGGCGGACCCCGAUGAAAUCCUACCGCGGUGCUCUUCGCCGAGUGUCGAGGUGGGCCGGCACGUUUACUUUGUACAAAUUAGAGUGCUUAAAGCAGGCCUGUUGCGCCUGAAUACUGUGUGCAUGGAAUAAUGGAAUAGGACCUCGGUUCUAUUUUGUUGGUUUUCGGAACCCGAGGUAAUGAUUAAUAGGGACAGGCGGGGGCAUUCGUAUUGCGACGUUAGAGGAGAAAUUCUUGGAUCGUCGCAAGACGGACCGAAGCGAAAGCAUUUGCCAAGUAUGUUUUCAUUAAUCAAGAACGAAAGUUAGAGGUUCGAAGGCGAUCAGAUACCGCCCUAGUUCUAACCAUAAACGAUGCCAGCUAGCGAUCCGCCGAAGUUCCUCCGAUGACUCGGCGGGCAGCUCCCGGGAAACCAAAGCUUUUGGGUUCCGGGGAAGUAUGGUUGCAAAGCUGAACUUAAGGAAUUGACGGAAGG